Molecule: long non-coding RNA, 217 nt
Filed under: Amphimedon queenslandica
Lineage: Eukaryota; Metazoa; Porifera; Demospongiae; Haplosclerida; Niphatidae
Description: uncharacterized LOC109592601, transcript variant X1
Source: RNAcentral
AGACUUCGCUAGUUUGACCAAGCAUUUUAUACCUUGCCAGCGAAUUGGAUCACAAGAGGUUGCUCAUGAGUUUUUGCUUAGAUGUGUAGUAGGAGACUAGGAGCUCAAAAUGUCACGAAAAGCUAUCAGUAUUGUUCAUGGUGGUAGACGAAACUCUGGAUGCUAUAUUUGGAGAUGUUGAUAACAUUUCCCCAAGACUAGAUAUAUUAUCAACUCU